AUUUUUACAGAUAACCAAAAAAAAUAGCAUUAAAAUUAAAAGCAAUUAUUCUCCAAUUUUUAAAAAUCCUGGGCCCACGUUUUCCAUGCUCUCACGAGGGAUCCGACAGAGCUGCUGAAGAGGCAGCGAUGUUGUAGGACCCUGAAGCAGGGCGUCAGACCAAACUCAAACUGGACGCCCUCGUGGAUGUAUUUAGGGCCCCUCUGCGAGUCCACUACACCGCGAUGAAACCAGUCGCGUUUGUUCCAAGAGAAAUGAAAGGCUGGAAAAUACGGAGUAGGUGAUACUAAAGAAAAGCUAUAGGGAAUGUGGAGGUAGGAAUUUUAAAAUGAGUAUUUUCUCAAAGCUGUUGUAGAAAUAGACACAUGGUAGCUGACCUCGAAGAGGCUGGUGGUCCUCAGAGAAGCAGUUAAUUCCAACAUCCCUAGCAAAAGAGAAGUAAAAAAAAAAACUCCCGUCAAAAUGGCCCUUAGGUUUUGACAAAGGGGUCCCUGACAAAAUGUGACUUAAUUAGGACAGAACUGAAAAGUAGAAGUAAAUUCCCCACCCAACAUAUGGGAACUGAGUGAUACUUCUCACUGGAAGCCAAGGAAUCCGUUUGUAGAGGAUCAGGAGGGGUAAGCUCAGAGCCUGGACCUGACCAGGUGAGCUAGAAGCCACGUGAAGAGGCCACGUGCAAGGGGCAAACAAAAGCCCACCCAGAGGGCAGGGGCAUCUGCGGUCAAGCACUGGAAGACCACUGACAAAUAGCCUCUGAGUAAACCUGAGGAAGGAAGGAAGCUAUAAUCAUGGCGAUUUGGGUGCACUGGAGCAUACAGAGCGGCCAGGGAUGGCAAGAAAAUACUCCUUCCAGAAACAUUCACUGGAACCUUCCCCUCUCCAACAUGCUGCCAGGCCCUGGAAUUGCAGAGAAUGGGAAAUGGACCCUGCCCUGAUGGACUCACAGGAGUGAACAGGAGGGAUGCCUGGGUGGCUCAGUCGGUUAAGCAUCUGCCUUCGGCUCAGGUCAUAAUCCCGAGGUCCUGGGAUCCAGCCUGCAUUGGGCUUCCUGCUCAGUGAGGAGCC
Molecule: long non-coding RNA, 1065 nt
Filed under: Ailuropoda melanoleuca (giant panda)
Lineage: Eukaryota; Metazoa; Chordata; Mammalia; Carnivora; Ursidae
Description: lncRNA (ENSAMEG00000027956.1)
Source: RNAcentral